Molecule: ribosomal RNA, 243 nt
Filed under: uncultured prokaryote
Description: partial 16S ribosomal RNA
Rfam family: Bacterial small subunit ribosomal RNA
Source: RNAcentral
UACGUAGGGUGCGAGCGUUAAUCGGAAAUACUGGGCGUAAAGCGUGCGUAGGCGGUUCCUCAAGUCCGUUGUGAAAGCCCCGGGCUCAACCUGGGAAUGGCAGUGGAAACUAGGGGACUGGAAUCUGGCAGAGGGGGGUGGAAUGCCGCGUGUAGCAGUGAAAUGCGUAGAUAUGCGGAGGAACACCGAUGGCGAAGGCAAUCCCCUGGGCCUGCACUGACGCUCAUGCACGAAAGCGUGGGG